Molecule: long non-coding RNA, 335 nt
Organism: Dreissena polymorpha
Lineage: Eukaryota; Metazoa; Mollusca; Bivalvia; Myida; Dreissenidae
Exons: 2
Source: RefSeq, a predicted model, not a curated record
UAUUUAUGCCCCCCUUCGAAAAAGAGGGGGUAUAUUGCUUUGCUCAUGUCGGUCGGUCGGUCGGUCCGUCCACCAGGUGGUUGUCAGACGAUAACUCAAGAACGCUUGGGCCUAGGAUCAUGAAACUUCAUAGGUACAUUGAUCAUGACUUGCAGAUGACCCCUAUUGAUUUUGAGGUCACUAGGUCAAAGGUCAAGGUCACAGUGACCCGAAAUAGUAAAAUGGUUUCCGGAUGAUAACUCAAGAACGCAUACGCCUAGGAUCAUGAAACUUCAUGGGUAGAUUGAUCAUGACUCGCAGAUGACCCCUAUUGAUUUUGAGGUCACUAGGUCAAA